GACGAACGCUGGCGGCGUGCUUAACACAUGCAAGUCGAACGGUGAAGCGCCUUCCUUUUUGGUGGGUGUGGAUGAGUGGCGAACGGGUGAGUACACGUGAGUAACCUGCCCCCUUCUUCUGGAUAACCGCAUGAAAGUGUGGCUAAUACGGGAUAUUCUGGGUCUGUCGCAUGAUGGGUCUGGGAAAGAUAUUGUUUCGGUGGGGGAUGGGCUCGCGGCCUAUCAGCUUGUUGGUGGGGUGAUGGCCUACCAAGGCGGUGACGGGUAGCCGGCCUGAGAGGGUGGACGGUCACACUGGGACUGAGACACGGCCCAGACUCCUACGGGAGGCAGCAGUGGGGAAUAGUGCACAAUGGGCGCAAGCCUGAUGCAGCGACGCCGCGUGAGGGAUGGAGGCCUUCGGGUUGUGAACCUCUUUCGCCAGUGAAGCAGGCCUGCCUCGUUUGUGGGUGGGUUGACGGUAGCUGGAUAAGAAGCGCCGGCUAACUACGUG
Molecule: ribosomal RNA, 493 nt
Filed under: uncultured bacterium
Lineage: Bacteria
Description: partial 16S ribosomal RNA
Rfam family: Bacterial small subunit ribosomal RNA
Source: RNAcentral